AUAGACAAAUUCAUAAAAUUUUAGUAAAUAGAAUAUAGAAAUAGAAAAUCACUAAGUAAUGGGUAUAUCACAACAUAUCUUAAUAGAUAGAUACUAUCUAGAGUACACAAUACAACGGGUAAAUUAGCAUAUUCAAACGCAAACUUAUUCCCAAUCAAUGUUGGGAUUUGGAGUGAAGAUCCGAUUUAAAUCAAUUUCUUAAGAUGCAAAAAUGUAUUAGUAAGUAGUAACACAUUAAUCCAAAGUCCAAAAAUGAUCCACUUUAAAUGUAAUAGUUAAAGUCAUCUAAAUAAUCGAAGGUUUUGGAAAAUGUUAAUCAGUAUUCCUAAGGCACUAGAUAAGAAAACUAAAUAUAGUAUAAGUAUCUUAAAACUUAUAUAAUAAAGUUAAAAAAUGUAAAAAAUUAUGUUUUCAGGUAGUCCCUAAUAUGGACCUCAAUUUAAAGGGACCAUUGGUGAAUCUUUGUUACUUACUUACUAUAGCCGGUCACUAUCUUUUAUGUUUUGUUUUGAGGCUUAAUUACUGGAUUUAAUUUCAUCUUCUCUCUUUACAUCUCUUCUCGCUGGUUCAUGUCAAAGUCUAUGCUGGUGAACAAACCUCAAACCUCAACUAUCCACCUUCAAUCUGUCCAUUGUCGAUUCGUUUCCUAAUUACUCGGAUUACCCUUUGUGAUCAUGAACACGUCCUAUUUUGCCCAUUCCUUUAUACACGUCACUCUUAGUGAAUGGGUCAAUCCUUUUCAUUUGUGUGAGUGUUUCUAAUUAGAUUUGUCUCUAGGAGAGUACUAGUAAUCUGUUGGGCUAUUUUGUCAUCAACAGCAACAAACAGCCACAAUGUCACAUUUGUCCCUUUAACUCCCUUCACCCAAAAGCUUCAAAUUUCAACCACAACUACAAAAAUUACAAUCACCUCAGAUAUCCCCUCUGAUUCAAUUUUUGUUUGGAGGCUUUGAAAAGGCAAACAACAUCAAAUAAUAAUACUAAACUUUGUGGUUUGUAAAGAUGAAAAUGAAAUAUGAAAGAAGAGAGAGGAUUGGGGAAGGGAAUGGAGUGGUGGAGCCAAAAAUGACAUUGGUGAAGAAACAAAUGAAGCAUAUAAGAGGGGAUAGAGAAGAGUAAGAGAGUUAAUUUGAUUGCAGUAAGAAAAAAUGACCGGCUAUAAUAAGUCACUUUGUGAGGUUCACCAAUGGUCCCUUUAAAUUGAGGUCCAUAUUAGGGUCUCCCAUAUUUUCAAUGCAAAUAUUUUUUUUUUCCUUAACUAGUGUUUUGGAGGCAUUAGUUAACAAGACUUUUUUGUUUACAAGGCACUAAUAAAGCUUGCUAGCUCAUAUAUAUAUAUAUAUAACAUAAUUACAUAAAAAAAAAAAAAAAAA
This 1372-nucleotide long non-coding RNA is filed under the name Medicago truncatula (barrel medic). RNAcentral's name for it is "long non-coding RNA (MTRU_LNC002803)". The record is from RNAcentral. Lineage: Eukaryota; Viridiplantae; Streptophyta; Magnoliopsida; Fabales; Fabaceae.